This is a non-coding RNA of Aegilops tauschii subsp. strangulata, 4731 nucleotides long. The record is from RefSeq and is a predicted model, not a curated record. Lineage: Eukaryota; Viridiplantae; Streptophyta; Magnoliopsida; Poales; Poaceae.
GCCGCCACCCACCCCUCCCCUCGCUCUCCUCCCUCCCUCCCUCCCCUCCGGCAAGAUCUAGCGCGCGGCCUCCCUCUCUCCUCGAUCCAGAUCCACCUACACUUCCGGCGAUCCCCAAUCCGGCGACAAAGACGGCUGCUCCCGCGCCGGCCUUCUUCCUCGCCGCAGGUGCCACUGCUCGUCUCCUCUCCGGUGAGUGCGGAGGAGCCACCGCGGUCGAGGCAGCCGCCGGCUAGAGCCCCGCCUCUUCUCCUCUCCGGUCAACGUGGAGGUCCGCCGCGUCCAACCUCCUCGACGGCGCCCGGAACCCUAGGCGGCCCAUCUCUUACUCCCAUGGCCAUGGCCAUGGCGAGCCUGCAAGAUGUGCAGCAGCAGAUAUUGAUUUCCCAGCCCGCCUGACGGCCCACUCCCUCGCCCCCGCGCAGAUCUUCGAGUACAACGGCUCCGCACCCUGCAGCCGCUGGUCCGGGACGAGCGCAGCGCCGGUUCGGGUGUCUUGCGCCAACCAGAGCCCGCCUCAGGUGCUCGACGGAACGCCGGCUACAUCCUCGGCAUGUUCCCCUACCCGAGGUACCCAUCCAAGCGCCUCUCCUCUCUGGCUCCCCGUAUGGAAUUCUUCAUCGAAUUGCUCGAGUCGCCUAUGAAUAUGUUGCUACCUCGCCAUGGAUUUGUGUUUGAGUUGUGUAUAAGAAUAAUGGAUGGUUCUGCAGUUUCAGUUUCUCCACCUAUGCUCAAAUUGUUGGAGUUUGUCAUCAGUUUCUCCAGUGCUGUACUGGCCAUGCGAUUGCACGUGGUGGUGUAAUUGGGCUGUAGUCAUGCAGUAGGAUACGAGGCUCUAGUUUAGUUUUCUGUAGAAUAUGUAAUAUUGAAGUAUCCUCUGUUAUGCGACUGCAUAGAGCCUAAUAUUUACUCUUCCCGGAUGCAUAAAGUCGUCCUGAAAUUGAAUCCCAGAGUAUAAAUGAGUUUGCAACCAUUCCUAAUUUUAAGUGCAAUGUGCUUCUGUAUAAGCUGCUAUAGAUAUAGCUAUCAUUGAUGUUUAUUCAAGAUUAAGUAUUCACUUCCUUCUAGUAUUUCAGUUUUUUGUGGAGCACUUCAGAAACUAAAAUGUACACAUUUAAGAAUUAGUUCUCAUCCAGUACUCCGUCCGCCCCCACAAUAUAAGACCUUAUUGCUGCUUUGAUCUUUCAGUUACCUCCGCAGUUUUUUUUUGAAUAUUUACUGUGAGGCAAAGCCCCACAGCCCUUUAUUGAAAUCGAACAACUGUACAAAAAAGAAUAGUAGGAGUAUAUACAGGAGCUAAGAAACUAGCCUACAAAGCUAAGGUACAGGACUAGAACUACCUACCUGGACUAAAGCUUUUAUCCAAGCUUUAAGCUUGAUGCUGCUAUCAUCCUUGAGCCUAUGAGUUAGGAGUGAAAGAUCAUGUACAAAGUUAGACCGCCAAGCAGCAAAAGUAGCUCUCUCCCCUCUAAAAGUUCUGCCAUUCCUGAGGAUCCAAAUAUUCCAUGCUGCCGUCAACAUUACUUCGAAGAAGAAAGGAUGCCUGAAGCUUGAGCUAGCAUGUUGGAUACAUUGCUGAAUAUCCGGCCCUCUUGACCAGUCAAUAGAAAGGUAGUUCCAAACCCUCCGACUGAAAUUACAGUUGAAGAACAAAUGCAGCCUAUCCUCAUAUGAAAAUUCAUGACAGAUAACACAAAGAUUAUCAUCCAGGGGGGAUCUCCAGUGCCUGCGGAUCAGAAGGUCCUUGGUGUUAAGCCUGUCAAAGAAAAGUAACCAUCCAAAGACUUUGAUCUUCAUGGUGCAUCUGCUUUUCCACAACCAUUUACACGGUUGAAUUGUGGGCAAAUGUGAGUGCAUCAAGGUGUAGAAACUCUUGGCUGAGAAACUACCAGAUCUGCCCGGCCAAACCCAAACAUCUGGUAUGUUGGUGUCCCUGUUCAAGGCCAUGAUCCAAUCUUCUAGCACUUGCAACUCCUGAGCAGCCUCAUGAGACAAUGGCAAGAAGAACAUGGUCUAGAAGAGCCACCAAUAAACCAAGCAUCAGUCCAAAACAGAGCAGAGUCACCCAUGUUGAUGUGCACCGAGGCAAUAGCUGUGUAUGCAUCAUGGAGCUUAAGGAUAUCUCUCCACCAAAAGGAGACCACUGGGGUUGUAGCGUGUGGAACACCAUCAGCAUAAUAACUGUUCUAGAUGAGGGACACCCAGGGUGAGGAAGGUGGACAUGCUCGACCGAGUCACCAUCUUGCGGUGCUAUGAUUUGAUUUGUGUGCUGUUGUUGCUUGUGGUCUGCAGCCUGCAGGGUUCAUACUGCUCCUUUGUGUUAUUUUUUUGCCUUGAGAUUGUUUCAAGAUUCAGAAGUGAGCAAUUUUGCAUGGCUCAGAUUUUGACGCCUCUGAAUUAGUAGUGCUAAUUAUUCCGAGGUCACAAGAGUAUGUAGCUUCUGAAUUUAAUUGUAUGCAUGCAAUACUUAAUGGUAUUGUUGUGCAAUUCGUACUGAGCAUGCAUCAACAGUAGGAGUGCUCAGUGCAUGCAUCAACAACUAUCUAUAUGUUUGGUUUGAUUGCUGGACUUGUAAAUGUAUGGGUUGGUCUGGGUUUGGUUUGGAUUACAAACUAUUGCCAGGUUGUCUUAAUGUGCUGAAUAUUUGCAAAUGUUGUGGUAGCUGGGGUACUGAAUUGUACUUAGUUAUUUGAUCUACUCAUGUUCAUGCUGCUUGUUAAGUGAUUAUAUUUAUGUUCUUGCUACUAGUAGGAUGGUCAAUACAUGCUUGUUAUGUAACUUUAGAUCUUUCGUGGAACUCCUGGUCCUUCAUAUCUAAAGUUAUUUUGACAUUCUGCCUAGAUUGUAACAUUGCUUGAUUGCUUAUAUCUUCCUUCUGAACCUGCAAUCCUUGAUGUAUAAUUAGUUAAUUACACACUUUGAUAUGUCCAACUGAACCAACUUUGUUAAUUACACACACACACACACAUAUAUAUAUAUACAUGCCCACACGUCAAAUAUAUGGUGUUGUAUUAUGCUUAUGCUACUUGUAUCACCAGUGUUUCCUCUUGUUUUUUUAGGGUGGUCCCUCUUGUUUUUUAGGGUGCAACAACUGAUGGUUAUUUGUCCGAAACAAAACUGCUGACCUCUUCCUGUGGAGGAACAAGAUCUCUGCCGGGGUGCUCGCGGGCGCCACCGCCAUUUGGCUGCUAUUUGAGGAGAAGGAGCACACCCAGGAGAAGAAGGAGCAAGCCCAGGAGAAAAAGAGCGAGCAGGAAAAGAAGGCACUGGAUUGCUGCUGUUGGAGUGUUGAGGACCUGGGAUCUGUGACGGCCCUGCACCGGCUCCCGCCCGCGGAUGUCGCGCGGGCGGCCUGCGCCUGCCGCCUCUUGAGCACCGUCGCCUCCGACCGCGCCGUGCUGGAGGCCGCCUUCCGCGCGCCCUGGGGCGUGCACCACGUCCUCAGCGACCCGGCCACUAGGGCCUUGUGGCGCGCUGCCUCCCUCGCCCGAUUUGCGCUCUCGCGCGCCCUCCGUCGCGGGGUCACCGCCCCGGGCAUCGCGCUAAGUAUUCUGUCCAAGUAUCAUCUGUCUAAUCCUUCCUCCCUGUGUCUGAAGCUCAAGUAUUGUAGCACAUUCUUUGCUGUGAUCAAGUGCGACUCAUAUCCAGUUGUUUGCUCACAUUAUUAUUUGGUUAUGCCAUGCUGCUGCCAUUGUUUGCUUAAGCAUGAUUUGCUCCAACCUGGCAUUGUGUUGUACUACUAGUACGUACUUCAAUUGCAUGCAUGCAUGUUUGCUGUUCCCUGAACUGUUUGACUGCCUGUAAUGCAUACGGCUUGUGUCCUGCGACUCAUAUCCAGUUGUUUGCUCACAUUAUUAUUUGGUUAUGCCAUGCUGCUGCCAUUGUUUGCUUAAGCAUGAUUUGCUCCAACCUGGCAUUGUGUUGUACUACUAGUACGUACUUCAAUUGCAUGCAUGCAUGUUUGCUGUUCCCUGAACUGUUUGACUGCCUGUAAUGCAUACGGCUUGUGUCCUGCUGCUCCCUUACCCGUUGUACUGUUCAUCUGUUGUGUUAACUUGCACUGUGCUCGUACUUGAUCAUUUGCAAAAUAUAUCUCAGUUUUCUCUAUUAUGAGAAUGUUAUAUACAUGGUUUCAUGUUAAAUCUAAAGUUCUGCAGCAAAUUUUCAUCGUUAUGAGAAUUUUAUAUUCACGGAUUCACUUGAUUAUGUGUAACUUUUCAUAAUUUAUUGGUUGCAUAUGCUGGCUUUCAUUCUUCAAAAGUUGGGUGUACAGGAGCUCUAGGAAGAAGAAUCCCGAAGAAAAACUACACCGAACAAUGCGUUUUAGCUCACUGGAGAUAGUUAUGUGUGAAGCUAGUUAUGUGUAUAUUUAGUUGUAUUCUAUAGCUAAAUACCAGAAUUGUACUAUGCUUGGCUGUUGUAUGAAAUAUUGUGCCUUAUUGUAUCUUUUUGAAUCAAAUUAUCUAUUUGCACAAAUAUAGAACUGACCUGGUGGUACCCAAACAGUAAUUUGGUUCCCGUUUAACUAGUGGGACCUACUUUAAAAUGGAAAAGAAACAAAAAAAACUGGCAAGUGGGCUGGAAAAAGGCGAGGCCCAAAAAAAUGUUUACAGUAAAAGGCUGUGGCCCAAAACAUAAAAUUCUAUUGGACCUGGCCCAUGUCGCUGACCAAACUUGAAAGCAAAAAAAUAAUGGGCUGAAUUAAUGGGCUCGGCCCAUAUAGACACCUAA